Molecule: long non-coding RNA, 515 nt
Filed under: Equus asinus (donkey)
Lineage: Eukaryota; Metazoa; Chordata; Mammalia; Perissodactyla; Equidae
Description: lncRNA (ENSEASG00005037732.1)
Source: RNAcentral
UUCUGCCCUCCUUCUGGUGGUGAAGAUGGAGGCCUUGAGAAGGAUGGAGCCGGAUAGCAGAAGACCCAACUCCUUACCAAGGCUUGCAUGGAGCGGAGACUCCAAGUUCUGUUUGGAAGGUCCAUGGAGUAGCAGUUGGCUUAAAAAAGUGGGUGAUCAUGGGGCAUGCCUGAAUGUGUCUGGAAGCUACAUUUGCAGCACCUUGUGAAUGAUUCCGUCAUACUACGAUUCCAAAAAACAGAAACCACAAUCAAGGACCUUGCCCACAUUUCCCCUGGCUCCCUCUGCCCCCUGACCAACCCUGGUGCUUUCCCAUGUAGCCCUGCAUGGCCUGGUGUCCUCCCUCAUCUUGGGAAUUAUUAGCCCUGAGCUAACUGCUGCCAAUCCUCCUCUUUUUUCUGAGGAAGGCUGGCCCUGAGCCAACAUCCGUGCCCACCUUCCUCUACUUUAUUAUGUGGGACGCCUACCUCAGCAUGGCUUGCCAAGCGGUGCCAUGUCCGCACCUGGGAUCCGAA